GACAGCAUGCCCGAGUGGUUAUGGGGUUAGACUUGAAUUGUUAACUAUUCAUGAGCAUCUAAUGACUUCGGUCGCGCAGGUUCGAACCCUGCUGCUGUCG
RNAcentral lists this transfer RNA (100 nucleotides) under Colletotrichum chlorophyti. It matches the Rfam family "tRNA". Rfam says of the family: Transfer RNA (tRNA) molecules are approximately 80 nucleotides in length. Their secondary structure includes four short double-helical elements and three loops (D, anti-codon, and T loops). The record is from Rfam by way of RNAcentral. Lineage: Eukaryota; Fungi; Ascomycota; Sordariomycetes; Glomerellales; Glomerellaceae.